CUCCACCGGAUCCUACACAGGAACAACAGUUACGCUCAUCCUAGUGACCAUAACAAAUCGAGGUACAUUUCUCUACUCAUUACAGGACCUUUUUCAUACAAGACCUAACGCGGUCUCGAUUCAUUACGAUUAACUCAAGGUCCUACGUCCUUGGUGUGUUAAAUUCUCUAAAUUUUUUCUUACUCAUGAAUACGGUCAUACUGCCAUCAGGCAAGAAAUUACCCAACCUACCUAACCCGGUACUCAGCCACACUACCAGGUACUUACGUCCUUAUUCAUUACGGCAUUCACUACCCCAAGGCCUCAAUUAGCCUCUCUCUAUAACGUAAACUCGCCUCAGUCUUAGACUAACCAUUCAGAUCCCUCACUUAGGAUCGCACGUCUCACCCCUAACAGCCAACCCCUACCACAAAUCAUACGCCAUCACUUAACGCAUAAAUACAUCAACAUCUGUCUUAAUACUUAGGCUUCUUCUACGAGGACAGCAGCAGCCAAGACUCGCUACAUAAUAACAUUCGAAGGUUCCAGCUCUCUAUUAUAAACCCUUCAAGGUUAGUAUCCACACAUUACACCAGCAUUACCAUUCAACCUUUAGUAUACAAGUGAACUGGCUUGCAGGGUCUGGGCUACCGCCCUAGCUCACCCUAGUCCAGCUAGGCCAUCUCCCACCUCAACACGGAGGUACGGCCCCGCGCCCAAAUCAUAGUUAUAUGCCUCGCCCGCCCUACUACAGGGCUGUAGUGAGGGCCUCACCUGUCACGGCCACACGUUUUUGAAUCUCUUUACAGUCACCGAGAGGCCAACACCCUGCCACCACCACUUGGCACUAGCAGGG
Pelobates cultripes (western spadefoot toad) is the source of this 835-nucleotide non-coding RNA. The record is from the annotation of a GenBank genome assembly. NCBI's taxonomy places the organism in Eukaryota, Metazoa, Chordata, Amphibia, Anura, Pelobatidae.